RNAcentral lists this unclassified non-coding RNA (357 nucleotides) under Gigantopelta aegis. Its description in RNAcentral is "uncharacterized LOC121372536, transcript variant X1". Lineage: Eukaryota; Metazoa; Mollusca; Gastropoda; Neomphalida; Peltospiridae. The record is from RNAcentral.
GUAAGUUUAUGUACCUGUUUGGAUAGCUUGGCGUCAAUACUGGAAUCGACUCUGUGACACUCAAUGGAGAGGUAUCGUGGUUAAGCCAUCAGACAUAAGGCUGCUGUUAUCUAUCUUCAGUACAUAUAAUAUUAUCAAGAUUUAUUGAAGAUGCAGAAGAUGAAAUGGACGAAGAGAAGACCAAUACCAAGAAGAAAAGGACUGAAGAAAAUGUACAACAUUUGACUGCAAGAGUGUGUUGACAAUGCAGAAGAACGAGACGGUCGACCCUUUCAAAGACAUACCCGAUGACGAUGAACUGGAGAACAACGGAAAUGUGGUUGAAGCCUCUUCCAGUGGUGAUGAAGAUGUGGAAUC